AUCUAGCCGACCAGUCUCAAAAAGGACGAAACGCGCGUCCUGAAU
Non-coding RNA from Schistosoma curassoni, 45 nucleotides. NCBI's taxonomy places the organism in Eukaryota, Metazoa, Platyhelminthes, Trematoda, Strigeidida, Schistosomatidae. The record is from Rfam.